This 200-nucleotide unclassified non-coding RNA is filed under the name Hevea brasiliensis (rubber tree). The record is from RNAcentral. Lineage: Eukaryota; Viridiplantae; Streptophyta; Magnoliopsida; Malpighiales; Euphorbiaceae.
GAGAUUUGCUUCUGAUUUUCUUGCUUUAGGAAUACCCCUUAAUAUUCUUAUAAAUAAUGCUGGGAUAUUUUCUCGGAAUUUGGAAUUCUCAGAAGACAAAAUUGAGAUGACAUGCGCUACAAAUUGUUUAGGACAUUUUUUGCUGACAGAAUUGCUAUUGGAGAAAAUGGUAGAAACAGCAGCAGAGACAGGCAUCCAGG